Molecule: ribosomal RNA, 500 nt
Filed under: uncultured bacterium
Lineage: Bacteria
Description: partial 16S ribosomal RNA
Rfam family: Bacterial small subunit ribosomal RNA
Source: RNAcentral
AUUGAACGCUGGUGGCAUGCCUUACACAUGCAAGUCGAACGGCAGCACGGGAGCAAUCCUGGUGGCGAGUGGCGAACGGGUGAGUAAAGUAUCGGAACGUGCCCAGUCGUGGGGGAUAACGUAGCGAAAGUUACGCUAAUACCGCAUACGGUCUAUGGAUGAAAGCGGGGGAUCGCAAGACCUCGCGCGAUUGGAGCGGCCGAUAUCAGAUUAGGUAGUUGGUGGGGUAAAGGCUCACCAGGCCGACGAUCUGUAGCUGGUCUGAGAGGACGACCAGCCACACUGGGACUGAGACACGGCCCAGACUCCUACGGGAGGCAGCAGUGGGGAAUUUUGGACAAUGGGCGAAAGCCUGAUCCAGCCAUGCCGCGUGCAGGAUGAAGGCCUUCGGGUUGUAAACUGCUUUUGUACGGAACGAAAAGGUUUGGCCUAAUAAGCUGAGCUCAUGACGGUACCGUAAGAAUAAGCACCGGCUAACUACGUGCCAGCAGCCGCAGUAA